CCUACGGGAGGCAGCAGUGAGGAAUAUUGGUCAAUGGACGAGAGUCUGAACCAGCCAAGUAGCGUGAAGGAUGACUGCCCUAUGGGUUGUAAACUUCUUUUAUAUGGGAAUAAAAUGUUCCACGUGUGGGAGUUUGUAUGUACCAUAUGAAUAAGGAUCGGAUAACUCCGUGCCAGCAGCCGCGGUAAUACGGAGGAUGCGAGCGUUAUCCGGAUUCAUUGGGUUUAAAGGGUGCGCAGGCGGGCCGUGAAGCCGGCGGUGAACUCGCGGGGCUCAACCCCGCCGAGCCGUCGGAACUGGGGGCCUGUAGUGCGGCGGCGGCAGGCGGAAUGCGCGGUGUAGCGGUGAAAUGCAUAGAUAUCGCGCAGAACCCCGAUUGCGACGGCAGCGUGCCGUGCCGCCACUGACGCUGAGGCACGAAAGCGCGGGGAUCGAACAGGAUUAGAUACCCGGGUAGUC
RNAcentral lists this ribosomal RNA (459 nucleotides) under uncultured bacterium. RNAcentral describes it as "partial 16S ribosomal RNA". It matches the Rfam family "Bacterial small subunit ribosomal RNA", at positions 338 to 795 of the family's 1533-position model. The record is from RNAcentral.